AAAAAAAAAAAAUGUACAUAAUCAUACCUUCCCUCUCUGCCUCACAGGGUGCCUAUGAGGACAAAAAAGGUGGUAUAUGUGAAAGUGCUUCAUAACUGAGCUGGUAAUCCAUAGAUGUCUGGUAUUAGCAAUGUUUUCUAAUAAAAUAAUAAGAGUAAUACUCGUUAUAACCUCUUUGCUUUGACAGUGCCUUUCAUUGCAGCCAUUCAGUAAUUUUGCAGCUUAUUAUCACCUGUAUAACACCCCUGUUGCUACCAUGUCUAAAGGUGCACAAGCAGCCAGCCAGUGAGGGAAGGGGAAGGUCUUUCUUCUCAGCAUGUCUUUAGAGCAGUGAUUCUCUAAGUUGUAGCACACUGGAAUCCCCUGGGGAGCUUCACACAUGCAGGUGUCUAGGUCCCACCCUGGCCAAUUAAAAUUUAAUCUGGUGGGGAGGAACUGGGCACCAGUAUUUUUUUAAAGUUUCCCAAGUGAUUCUAAUAUGCAGCCAAGGUUGGCAACCACUGCUCUUUGGACUAUUUGUACAUCUCAGUGGCUGCUGAAAGUGAUCACAGUUUUAAAAGAACACAGCUUGUGGUUCUGGAAAAAUCCAUCUGCUUUUUCCAGAAAUGUAGUACGUAAGUCAAAUAGGUCUGAGGUCACUUGGGAGAGAAAUCCAAGAGUUGGACUGAGAGCUCAAACCACAAAGAUUCUAAAUGCCACCAUCACUUAGAUAGCUGCCCUUUUUCCUGAACUGCCACUGUUGACAGAUAAGAUGGUGCACACAGCGAGAAUCUGAGCAGCACAGAGCCCCCCAUCCCCAUCACUGUUCCUCCACUAAGCUCCCCUUGAAAACAUUCCACAGGACUUCCUAUUCACGGUGAUUAGAAAAGUGAAUACCUCCUAUUUUAAAAGAAAAAAAUCUCAGAGGAUAAGCACGUAGCCGACGAGUGGCCAAUUCUGUAAUUUUCCCCAUGGAUAAUAAGGAAAUAAUCAUACAUUAUUUAAUAAUGUAUUUUUCCAUUGAAUUCCAAUGUGUCUACAAAUUAUACAUGUUUUAUAUGAUGUUUCACUUUAGGGUUAAGCCAAAUAAGCAUACAUUUAUUUUAUAAAUAUAAAUAUAUUAUCUAUUAAAAUAGUUUCUAGUAAAAACAUAGGUUUAGCUAUUUGACUCAAAUUUCUUAAAGAAGCCAUAGUUAGAAGAAAAUAUCCACUAGAGUAUACUAGACUUUAUGUCUUCGCAGGAGAAGUAACACUUCCUCAUCUGUUUACCUCUCAACUCCCUUCUCCAACUAGAAAUGAAGACACAAGAUAAUAAAAGGAUUUGACUUUUCAGUAUCCCUUUCGAACUGGGCACCACCCAGAAGAAAGAUUCUGUUAACUACUCCCUUUAGAAAUUAUCUCAAGUUUCAGAAGCUUACAAGUGCACAAAAAUGUUUCCUGCCGCCCCCACCAAGAUGGAACAGGGACAAGAAGAACUGAUCUGCAUCAUCCUCUAGAUUCUGUGUGCGCUUCCUGAUCCAUGCCUCCAAAUGACAAGGGUUACAGGCAUGCAGCAAUGAAUGUAGGCAAAAUCCUUUCUGUAUCUAAUUCAAAACACCAGUACCCCCAGUCUAGCAAAGGAAGUGAGAAUGCCCCAACCACUCUAAUCAGGGACAUGGACAGUUCUCCCAGCAGAAGUAAUGAGGGCCUCCUCUUGAGUCAAGAAGAUACUAUCUUCCCUCUGAAUCCACAAAAUGAAUCCACAAAAGCUCUAGUAGCUAAUUUUUCCUUUCAUUAAAAUAAAACAGGUGGUACAGUAAGUAAAGAGCUUAUCAAUUGCACAUUAAACUAGAGGUAAUGGGUACUGUACUCUCUGUAUUACGUUUUCUAUUGCUGUGUAACAAAUUACCCCCAAACACAGUAGCUUGGCACAGCAAAUGUGUGUGACCUCUCACAGCAUCUGAGGGUCUGGAAACUAGUAAGGUGGGGCUGACUCAGGGGCUCUCACAAGGUUGCUGUCAAGUCAGGGCUGCAGUCACCUGAAGGCUUGACUGGGGCUGGAGGAGCCACUUCCAAGUGUGCUCACAGUGUUCAUGGCUUCAGGCCCUCACUGGCUGUUGGCUAGAGUCCCCAUGGCCUCUCCAUAGACUGUCUGCAUGUCCUUUUGACAUGAGAGCUGGCUUGAGAAUUAGUGAUCUGAUAGAUGAGGGGAGAGAGAGAGAGAGGGAGAACAUGAGAACUAAUCUUAAAAAUAAACUCCACUGGGUUCUGCUGUGUCCUAUUGGUCACAUAGAUCAACUCUGCCACAGUGUGGGAGGGGACUACACCAAGGGUGAACACCAGGAGGUGGGGACCAUCACAGGCCAUCUUGAAGGUCACUGACCACAUUCCCCAAUCAAAGGCCUGCCUCCCCAACACAGCCCACCACCACUACCUCAGUCAGAGAACUGGGGACUCAGGAACUUAAAGCCAUCUCAAAGAAAUACAGUUGGGAGACCAUGGUUGCAAAUGAGUCCACGAAAGCUCUAAUAGCUAAUUUUUCCUUUCAUUAAAAUAAAACAGGUGGUACAGUAAGUAAAAGAGCUUAUCAAUUGCACAUUAAACUAGAGGUAAUGGGUACUCUAUAACUCAUUUCCAUUUCAUUGUGCUUUGCUUACUAGAAGCUUUCAGAUUUC
RNAcentral lists this long non-coding RNA (2633 nucleotides) under Homo sapiens (human). Its description in RNAcentral is "HSALNT0199333". Lineage: Eukaryota; Metazoa; Chordata; Mammalia; Primates; Hominidae. The record is from RNAcentral.